GCGGGAGUAGUUCAGUGGUAGAACAACAGCCUUCCAAGCUGUAUAUGGGGGUUCGAUUCCCCUCUCCCGCU
Molecule: transfer RNA, 71 nt
Filed under: Candidatus Omnitrophota bacterium
Lineage: Bacteria; Pseudomonadati; Candidatus Omnitrophota
Description: Candidatus Omnitrophica bacterium (hot springs metagenome) tRNA-Gly
Rfam family: tRNA
About the family: Transfer RNA (tRNA) molecules are approximately 80 nucleotides in length.
Source: RNAcentral